AAAUUUCAUUUUUAUAACCCAAAUAAUAAAAACUGAAACAUAAUUAAAACCAAUAAUCAGAUUAAUGUUUUUGGAUAUUAGGGUUUCACCCUAACCUCGUCCUCCUUUAUUUUUUUUUUCUUUUCGCCGUCAACCACUCCUUCAUCUUCCCAUGGCCGAAAUCAGUGAUGUUAGUGACGAUCCCAGACGAAAAAUAGUUGAUAAGGCUUUCUUUGAUGGCCAGCCGUUUCCACCGCCAUCAUUAGUGUGUUCCCGUUACAGCGUUCUCGUUACGCCGUUGUAUGAUUUGGUUUUUGACGGUGACAGCUCCGUUGAGCAUAUCUAGAUCGAAACGCAAGUUGCGAAGAAACGGUGUGGCGGUGCUUCUACUUCGGCGAUUUCUACGGAAAAGAAUGAAAGAGACAAAGAGAAGAAGAAAUCGUGUUUUUUUUGUCUCUCGGAUCCGGAUAUCCGGCGAAUAUCCGAGUUUUUUAACGGAUCUCCGAAAACCGGAUAUCCGAAUAAACGGAUCCGGAUUCGGAUAUCAAAACUAUGAAUCCGCCGGAUACGGAUCCGGAUCCGGAUACACUCAAUUUUGCCGAAUAUCCGGCUCCGUCUCAGGGCUAGCUGCUGGUAAGAAGUUUAGGUGGCCAGAACUAGUUGGAGAGAGUAAGGAAAUAGCGAUAAUAACGAUCGAAAGAGAAAAUCCAAAUGUGUUAGUGAUUGUCCAUUGAGCAGGAGACGGGUGGAUUGACAGGGUCUUUGUGAGUUUAGAUAUCAAUGGCAUUGUUUCAAGAACUCCUAAGAUAGGUUGAUUUUUUUUUUUGAAAAAAUUUUCUAUAUGUUUUACCAUUAUUGGUAAUAAAAAAUAUUACUAAAUAUAAUCAUCAAUAAUACAUCACACCAUUUCUGUAAA
Long non-coding RNA from Camelina sativa (false flax), 895 nucleotides. RefSeq lists it as uncharacterized. The record is from RefSeq and is a predicted model, not a curated record. Lineage: Eukaryota; Viridiplantae; Streptophyta; Magnoliopsida; Brassicales; Brassicaceae.